GACAGAGGGUGCAAACGUUGUUCGGAAUUACUGGGCGUAAAGCGCGUGUAGGCGGUCAGGCAAGUCGGAUGUGAAAUCCCGUGGCUCAACUACGGAAGUGCACCCGAAACUGCUUGACUUGAGUCCCGGAGAGGAAGGCGGAAUGCUUGGUGUAGAGGUGAAAUUCGUAGAUAUCAAGCGGAACACCGGUGGCGAAGGCGGCUUCCUGGACCGGUACUGACGCUGAGGCGCGAAAGCUAGGGGAGCAAACGGG
This 253-nucleotide ribosomal RNA is filed under the name uncultured bacterium. RNAcentral describes it as "partial 16S ribosomal RNA". It matches the Rfam family "Bacterial small subunit ribosomal RNA", at positions 524 to 776 of the family's 1533-position model. The record is from RNAcentral.